UUCUGACCUCGAAUCAGGUGGGACUACCCGCUGAACUUAAGCAUAUCAAUAAGCGGAGGAAAAGAAACUAACAAGGAUUCCCUUAGUAACUGCGAGUGAAGUGGGAUGAGCUCAAAUUUAAAAUCUGGUAGUCUCUGGCUGCCCGAGUUGUAAUCUAGAGAAGUGUUUUCUGUGCUGGACUGUGUUU
Molecule: ribosomal RNA, 187 nt
Filed under: Hydnum repando-orientale
Lineage: Eukaryota; Fungi; Basidiomycota; Agaricomycetes; Cantharellales; Hydnaceae
Description: partial 28S ribosomal RNA
Rfam family: Eukaryotic large subunit ribosomal RNA
Source: RNAcentral